UUUUACAAUGGAGAGUUUGAUCCUGGCUCAGGAUGAACGCUAGCGGCAGGCCUAAUACAUGCAAGU
RNAcentral lists this ribosomal RNA (66 nucleotides) under Flavobacteriales bacterium. RNAcentral describes it as "partial 16S ribosomal RNA". It matches the Rfam family "Bacterial small subunit ribosomal RNA", at positions 1 to 62 of the family's 1533-position model. Lineage: Bacteria; Pseudomonadati; Bacteroidota; Flavobacteriia; Flavobacteriales. The record is from RNAcentral.